CGGUCACUUCGGUGAUAGUGGCGGACGGGUGAGUAACGCGUGAGAAUCUGGCUUCAGGUCUGGGACAACAGUUGGAAACGACUGCUAAUACCGGAUGUGCCGAAAGGUGAAAGGCUUGCUGCCUGAAGAUGAGCUCGCGUCUGAUUAGCUAGUAGGUGUGGUAAGAGCGCACCUAGGCGACGAUCAGUAGCUGGUCUGAGAGGAUGAUCAGCCACACUGGGACUGAGACACGGCCCAGACUCCUACGGGAGGCAGCAGUGGGGAAUUUUCCGCAAUGGGCGAAAGCCUGACGGAGCAAUACCGCGUGAGGGAGGAAGGCUCUUGGGUUGUAAACCUCUUUUCUCAAGGAAUAAGUACUGAAGGUACUUGAGGAAUCAGCAUCGGCUAACUCCGUGCCAGCAGCCGCGGUAAUACGGAGGAUGCAAGCGUUAUCCGGAAUGAUUGGGCGUAAAGCGUCCGCAGGUGGCUGUGUAAGUCUGCUGUUAAAGAGUGAGGCUCAACCUCAUAAAAGCAGUGGAAACUACACAGCUAGAGUGCGUUCGGGGCAGAGGGAAUUCCUGGUGUAGCGGUGAAAUGCGUAGAGAUCAGGAAGAACACCGGUGGCGAAGGCGCUCUGCUAGGCCGCAACUGACACUGAGGGACGAAAGCUAGGGGAGCGAAUGGGAUUAGAUACCCCAGUAGUCCUAGCCGUAAACGAUGGAUACUAGGCGUUGCGAGUAUCGACCCUCGCAGUGCCGGAGCCAACGCGUUAAGUAUCCCGCCUGGGGAGUACGCAC
Molecule: ribosomal RNA, 776 nt
Filed under: uncultured Nostoc sp.
Lineage: Bacteria; Bacillati; Cyanobacteriota; Cyanophyceae; Nostocales; Nostocaceae
Description: bacterial SSU rRNA
Rfam family: Bacterial small subunit ribosomal RNA
Source: RNAcentral